UUAUAUAACAGGUGCCGCUUUCAAGUCCAAAUUGCAGAUGGAAGUGGAUCAAUAAUUGCAACAUUAGUAGGUCAACCUGGAGAGAAUCUUCUUUCAAUGAAAGCUGAACAAAUCUACGAAACAAUUAACAUAAAGGAAUUCUGAUGAAACACCAGCAAAACUGUUCAUUUUGUCAUUUGCUGAGAAGCAGGAUACUCUCCAAUUGCCAGCAGUAUCAACAUCUACAAAUGCUGGUGAAAGCAGUAAAAGAGAAAUUGACAAUGUAUCAUCAUCAGAAGAACAAAAAAGCUAAUCAUUGGAAGUACCUCAUCUGGCAAGAGACAACAGACUGAGCGAACAACUCCAACAAAAAAAAACUACAUCUUCUAGCAAAAGUGAGGGUAUCAAACCAGUCGCUCCAACUAAGAAAAAUUAAAGUUCACUAUGACUAGCGCGAGCUUGUACAUACAUCUUUUGGUGGCUCGUACAUACCAAACUUUUGAUGGCCUAGAUGGUCAUGGAUCUGCAGGUAAAAUAUACAGGACUAUCCGUGCUUAUAGCUUUUAGCCUUAGUUUUGGCCACUGUGAAAAUGUGUUUUUGUCAAAUAGCACAAACUUGAGAGUCCUGUAACUAUAAUCUAAACUGCUUGUUGCAAAAUGCAAUGUAAAUAUAAUCUACUUUUUGGUUUGAAUUAGGUUAUGCUUCGUAAAAUUAGCUGCUUCUGACAAUUUCAAUGUAGUAUGUGGAGAAAUUAGAUGGCUUCUCUACUUUAACGUCUUUUUAUAAUUCUUC
Molecule: long non-coding RNA, 772 nt
Organism: Lycium barbarum (goji berry)
Lineage: Eukaryota; Viridiplantae; Streptophyta; Magnoliopsida; Solanales; Solanaceae
Exons: 3
Source: RefSeq, a predicted model, not a curated record